AACGAACGCUGGCGGCAUGCCUAACACAUGCAAGUCGAACGAGACCUUCGGGUCUAUUGGCGCACGGGUGCGUAACGCGUGGGAACCUGCCCUUAGGUUCGGAAUAACUCCCCGAAAGGGGUGCUAAUACCGGAUAAUGUCUUCGGACCAAAGAUUUAUCGCCUUUGGAUGGGCCCGCGUUGGAUUAGCUAGUUGGUAGGGUAAAAGCCUACCAAGGCGACGAUCCAUAGCUGGUCUGAGAGGAUGAUCAGCCACACUGGGACUGAGACACGGCCCAGACUCCUACGGGAGGGAGGAGUGGGGAAUAUUGGACAAUGGGCGAAAGCCUGAUCCAGCAAUGACGCGUGAGUGAUGAAGGCCUUAGGGUUGUAAAGCUCUUUUACCCGGGAUGAUAAUGACGGUACCGGGAGAAUAAGCCCCGGCUAACUCCGUG
RNAcentral lists this ribosomal RNA (433 nucleotides) under uncultured bacterium. Its description in RNAcentral is "partial 16S ribosomal RNA". It matches the Rfam family "Bacterial small subunit ribosomal RNA", at positions 29 to 507 of the family's 1533-position model. The record is from RNAcentral.